This 656-nucleotide ribosomal RNA is filed under the name uncultured bacterium. RNAcentral describes it as "bacterial SSU rRNA". It matches the Rfam family "Bacterial small subunit ribosomal RNA", at positions 371 to 1029 of the family's 1533-position model. The record is from RNAcentral.
ACAGGGGGAACCGAUCAUCAUGCCGCGUGUGNAAGAAGGCCUUCGGGUUGUAAAGCACUUUUGUCAGGAACGAAACGGUGGGGGCUAAUAUCUCCUGCUAAUGACGGUACCUGAAGAAUAAGCACCGGCUAACUACGUGCCAGCAGCCGCGGUAAUACGUAGGGUGCGAGCGUUAAUCGGAAUUACUGGGCGUAAAGCGUGCGCAGGCGGUUGUGCAAGACAGAUGUGAAAUCCCCGGGCUUAACCUGGGAAUUGCAUUUGUGACUGCACGGCUAGAGUGUGUCAGAGGGGGGUAGAAUUCCACGUGUAGCAGUGAAAUGCGUAGAUAUGUGGAGGAAUACCGAUGGCGAAGGCAGCCCCCUGGGAUAACACUGACGCUCAUGCACGAAAGCGUGGGGAGCAAACAGGAUUAGAUACCCUGGUAGUCCACGCCCUAAACGAUGUCUACUAGUUGUCGGGUCUUAACUGACUUGGUAACGCAGCUAACGCGUGAAGUAGACCGCCUGGGGAGUACGGUCGCAAGAUUAAAACUCAAAGGAAUUGACGGGGACCCGCACAAGCGGUGGAUGAUGUGGAUUAAUUCGAUGCAACGCGAAAAACUUACCUACCUUGACUGUACGGAACCCUGCUGGAGGUGGGGUGCUCGAAAGAGAGCG